Long non-coding RNA from Ictidomys tridecemlineatus (thirteen-lined ground squirrel), 303 nucleotides. RefSeq lists it as uncharacterized. The record is from RefSeq and is a predicted model, not a curated record. Lineage: Eukaryota; Metazoa; Chordata; Mammalia; Rodentia; Sciuridae.
GAAACUUGCAAUCCUCCUGCCUUAGCCUGCUGAGUUGCUAAGAUUACAGGAAUCUGGCCUUUUGGCACGUGCUAAGCAGAGGGUGCCUCAUGUGACCAGCUCCCACCGGGAUUCUGGUGCAGAAACAUCACACACAUGUUGCCGCAUUUUUCAUCUCUAGGGGCAGAGUGAGCUCUUCACAGAAGACAGAAUAAGGAAACCUGUAUGUGGAUUCUUCCUGACUUUCCCUGUGUCUUUUCCCCUUAUGAUUUAGAUGUCUCUCCUUACUCUCUUGCUGUAAUAAAUCUUAGCCAUGAGCCCAAG